GGGCCCGCACAAGCGGUGGAGCAUGUGGUUUAAUUCGACGCAACGCGAAGAACCUUACCAGGGCUUGACAUCCACAGAAUACUUUGGAAACAAGGUAGUGCCCUUCGGGGAGCUGUGAGACAGGUGGUGCAUGGUUGUCGUCAGCUCGUGUCGUGAGAUGUUGGGUUAAGUCCCGCAACGAGCGCAACCCCUAUCUUUAGUUGCUAACAGGUAGUGCUGAGCACUCUAGAGAGACUGCCGGUGACAAACCGGAGGAAGGUGGGGAUGACGUCAAAUCAUCAUGCCCCUUAUGUCCUGGGCUACACACGUGCUACAAUGGCCGGUACAGACGGUUGCGAAGCUGUGAAGUGGAGCUAAUCCGAGAAAGCCGGUCUCAGUUCGGAUUGUAGGCUGCAACUCGCCUACAUGAAGUCGGAAUCGCUAGUAAUCGCAGGUCAGCAUACUGCGGUGAAUACGUUCCCGGGCCUU
Molecule: ribosomal RNA, 468 nt
Filed under: uncultured bacterium
Lineage: Bacteria
Description: bacterial SSU rRNA
Rfam family: Bacterial small subunit ribosomal RNA
Source: RNAcentral